This is a long non-coding RNA of Bacillus rossius redtenbacheri, 1201 nucleotides long. RefSeq lists it as uncharacterized. The transcript has 3 exons. Lineage: Eukaryota; Metazoa; Arthropoda; Insecta; Phasmatodea; Bacillidae. The record is from RefSeq and is a predicted model, not a curated record.
UUAUUGCCUAAUUAUUUUUCCUUGAUUUGCGUCAUGUCUGAAUAAUUCCAUUGUUCCUUGUAUGGCAAUUCCCUUAUCAGUUUUCGACCUAUAUAACGGCCCUGUAUCCCUCAUGAUAUUCAUAAGUUCAUCGACAGCCACUGCGUAAACAAGUGCUUCCAGAUCAAGACUGUGACCAAGCUCCUCCAAAGCAAAGACCCGAACAUCAACGUCCGCUCUCUGCUCUGCUGAAUCGUGACUCCUGAAUAAGACUCUACAAGAUGCAAAAUCUCAUGCUGCUCUGUAUGGCUAUGUUCCUGGCGGCGGAUGCGAGGCCAGAACCCGGGACGAAGUUGCCCUGCAAUCCAAGACAAUACACCGAUCCCACGAGGUCCCGCUCAAAAGAGGAACCACCGGAAGCACACCAAAAGGUUGUCAAGAUUCCAGGGAUCCUGUCGACCCGAAUAGGAUUCCUUGACGGCCCAAAUCUGAAUCAACGUUGGCCCUUUGAAUAUAGAGUUGUUGUGCCUGACCGUGCUUAAGAUUUUCGUUAUGUAUUCACGCUGUAAACAACCGAGUAGUUGAUAAGUUUUCUUAUUGCAAUGCUUCUUUUUCUUCACUUUUUAAAAUAAAGAUUAUUGCGCAAUAUUUCUUGGUAUCAUUGACGUAGAAUAAGCUGACGCAACGUCCAGUAGGUAUCCCAACUCACCUGUAUACCUGGCUGAGCUUAGGUCACGAUCGGUCUGCUAGGCUGAAUGGAAUGUGCAUCGGACCGACGUGCAGAUGUAGGCUUCACGCUGCAACUCGUGCAACGCGGUUACCCUAGGACUUAAGAUCGUUUCAAGAUAGAGCUUUGUCUCCUGAUUUCAACAUGCACUGAUGACUGCAGUGGUGAGCUCGAUGGUGCAGCCGCAAGACUAUCUUGUACGGAGCUCAAAAAGUUAGUAUGUUAAAACGUAUGCACGUAGUCUUCGAUUAUUAACAAGAUUAGGUACAAACUACUCCAGUUUAAAAACAAACGGUAUGAUAACAUUCAUUCGAUUAGGUAUACCUAUGCCAAAAUUCCAUUUAUGGCCGGCGUGUACAGGAAAUCCAUUCAAUUUAGGCAUAACAGUUGACGCAGUAACAUGAUCGCAAUAUGACUAAAUGUUAUUAUCGCUUAUUCACCUAUAUUUUUUUCCUGGAUUGUUACCUCAUUAUUAUAGCAUUUACGUCAUCGGUU